RNAcentral lists this long non-coding RNA (618 nucleotides) under Vigna radiata. RNAcentral's name for it is "long non-coding RNA (VRAD_LNC007622)". Lineage: Eukaryota; Viridiplantae; Streptophyta; Magnoliopsida; Fabales; Fabaceae. The record is from RNAcentral.
GGCUGGAGGACUACCUCUAAAAUCUGUUCCAACAUAUCCAACUCUCAUUACAACCUUUUUCUUGAGGAACGGUUCUCAUUUCUGAAAAGGGGUUGGAAGAGAGUGAGUCGAAGAGCAGAAGCAGUUGAAGAGAGUUGGAGGCAAAAGCAGAUAUGGCAGCGAACAAGAAGGGAAUAACAUUGAUGCCAAAGUGGAUAUUUUGCUUUCUCUUACACGAGUUGGAAUUGAAAGAAAGUGUGGGGAAGAAGAAACAUAAUUACUCAUCAUUUUCGAAACUUUCUUAGAUAGUGACCCCUUACCUCAUCUUCUAAACCCUAACCCCCAAAAAAAUCAUAAACAACAGCAACAAUAGGCUUAGAUAGUGACCCCUUACCUCACCUCCGUGCGAUGUUGAACUAUCACCUUCAAUCAAUCACCAAUGUCGUUAGCAGGAAUCACCAGAAAUGAACAACAAUGGCGUUCUCUCCAAUCGCGACAAAAAUGGCGUUAUCAGGGUUAGGGUUUUUUAAUUACCCUAAUUUUUUCAUUUCAUUUCAAUCCUCAAUUUUAAAACAUUAAAAUGUUUUCAGAAUGCCACGUCAUAUAAGUUUAAAACAGAUGGAUAAAAGUUUAUCACGC